RNAcentral lists this ribosomal RNA (253 nucleotides) under uncultured bacterium. Its description in RNAcentral is "partial 16S ribosomal RNA". It matches the Rfam family "Bacterial small subunit ribosomal RNA", at positions 524 to 776 of the family's 1533-position model. The record is from RNAcentral.
UACGUAGGGUCCGAGCGUUGUCCGGAAUUAUUGGGCGUAAAGAGCUCGUAGGCGGUUUGUCGCGUCUGCUGUGAAAUCCCGAGGCUCAACCUCGGGCCUGCAGUGGGUACGGGCAGACUGGAGUGCGGUAGGGGAGAAUGGAAUUCCUGGUGUAGCGGUGGAAUGCGCAGAUAUCAGGAGGAACACCGAUGGCGAAGGCAGUUCUCUGGGCAGUAACUGACGCUGAGGAGCGAAAGCCAGGGGAGCAAACGGG